UGACCUGAAGCCGCCCCUUUGGUGCUCGCGAACCUCUCUGUUCCCGCGUAGACCGAGGCCCAGCCUCUGUCUGUCCCUCUCAUGCCGACCUCUCAUCUCGGCUGCAGACCCUCCAUGGCCAGCCCAACGAAACUCCCCCGACCAUUGUCGCAGCCAACCUCGACGAGCCCCGCUGUCACCGGGAUUGGUGCAGGUGCUCCUGGAUCUGCCCAUCCCGUCGGCACCCCGCCGAAGCCAGCUACCAACCCACGACCGCCCCGACCUGCAUCCCCGAUCUGGCAAACAGAGCAUCUUUGUUUGUGUUUUUGGUUUCGUCAAAUAGCACUGAGUUCCGCAAGCGUGUCGCAACGUGAGGAUUCGUACGACCACGUGGGUUCGUCUGCUUCACGGAUUCGUUCUUCUUCCAAGAAGGAUCACAAGCAAGAUGAUCAUUUCCCUAGAUCCCAUUA
Hordeum vulgare subsp. vulgare (domesticated barley) is the source of this 449-nucleotide long non-coding RNA. RefSeq lists it as uncharacterized. The transcript is spliced from 3 exons. NCBI's taxonomy places the organism in Eukaryota, Viridiplantae, Streptophyta, Magnoliopsida, Poales, Poaceae. The record is from RefSeq and is a predicted model, not a curated record.